UACAGAGGGUGCAAGCGUUGUUCGGAAUUAUUGGGCGUAAAGGGAGUGUAGGCGGCUCAUUAAGUCUUCUGUGAAAUCUACGGGCUCAACCUGUAACGUGCAGAGGAUACUGAUGAGCUUGAGUGUCGGAGAGGAUAGUGGAAUUCCCGGUGUAGAGGUGAAAUUCGUAGAGAUCGGGAGGAACACCGGUGGCGAAGGCGGUUCUCUGGGCCUGUACUGACGCCGAGGAGCGAAAGCGUGGGGAGCGAACAGG
RNAcentral lists this ribosomal RNA (253 nucleotides) under uncultured bacterium. RNAcentral's name for it is "partial 16S ribosomal RNA". It matches the Rfam family "Bacterial small subunit ribosomal RNA", at positions 524 to 776 of the family's 1533-position model. The record is from RNAcentral.